RNAcentral lists this transfer RNA (67 nucleotides) under uncultured Halofilum sp. It matches the Rfam family "tRNA". From Rfam's summary of the family: Transfer RNA (tRNA) molecules are approximately 80 nucleotides in length. Their secondary structure includes four short double-helical elements and three loops (D, anti-codon, and T loops). Lineage: Bacteria; Pseudomonadati; Pseudomonadota; Gammaproteobacteria; Chromatiales; Ectothiorhodospiraceae. The record is from RNAcentral.
GGCAUAGCGCAGUCUGGUAGCGCAUCGGCUUUGGGAGCCGAGGGUCGGGGGUUCAAAUCCCUCUGCC